UACAGAGGGUGCGAGCGUUAAUCGGAAUUAUUGGGCGUAAAGGGCGCGUAGGCGGUUUGGUAGGUCCGCUGUGAAAACUCGAGCUCAACCUCGAGACGCCGGUGGAAACCAUCAGACUAGAGUCCGGAAGAGGAGAGUGGAAUUCCUGGUGUAGCGGUGAAAUGCGCAGAUAUCAGGAAGAACACCCGUGGCUAAGGCGGCUCUCUAGUACGGUACUGACGCUGAGACGCGAAAGCGUGGGGAGCGAACAGG
This 252-nucleotide ribosomal RNA is filed under the name uncultured bacterium. RNAcentral describes it as "partial 16S ribosomal RNA". It matches the Rfam family "Bacterial small subunit ribosomal RNA", at positions 524 to 776 of the family's 1533-position model. The record is from RNAcentral.